This 459-nucleotide ribosomal RNA is filed under the name uncultured bacterium. RNAcentral's name for it is "partial 16S ribosomal RNA". It matches the Rfam family "Bacterial small subunit ribosomal RNA", at positions 338 to 795 of the family's 1533-position model. The record is from RNAcentral.
CCUACGGGUGGCAGCAGUGAGGAAUAUUGGUCAAUGGACGAGAGUCUGAACCAGCCAAGUAGCGUGAAGGAUGACUGCCCUAUGGGUUGUAAACUUCUUUUAUAUGGGAAUAAAACGCGCUACGCAUAGCGUUUUGUAUGUACCAUAUGAAUAAGGAUCGGCUAACUCCGUGCCAGCAGCCGCGGUAAUACGGAGGAUGCGAGCGUUAUCCGGAUUUAUUGGGUUUAAAGGGAGCGUAGGCGGUUCCUUAAGUCAGUGGUAAAAUUUUGGGGCUCAACCGUACAGUGCCGUUGAAACUGGGGGUCUUGAGUACGGGAGAGGUAGGCGGAAUUCGUGGUGUAGCGGUGAAAUGCUUAGAUAUCACGAAGAACUCCGAUCGCGAAGGCAGCGUACCGGAGUGCAACUGACGCUGAGGCUCGAAAGUGUGGGUAUCAAACAGGAUUAGAUACCCUGGUAGUC